This 370-nucleotide unclassified non-coding RNA is filed under the name fungal sp. RNAcentral's name for it is "partial internal transcribed spacer region". The stretch from base 1 to 46 matches the Rfam family "Eukaryotic small subunit ribosomal RNA", at positions 1786 to 1831 of the family's 1831-position model. RNAcentral also lists the same sequence under 1 other name. Lineage: Eukaryota; Fungi. The record is from RNAcentral.
AAGUCGUAACAAGGUUUCCGUAGGUGAACCUGCGGAAGGAUCAUUAUUACGUAUCCACGUAUCAAACCAAAUCGUGAACUGUUUCCCGUCUGAUGAGGAUUUCUGCGAGUGUUUGAACAUUUAUUAAAUGCAUGGUGAGGACUCCUAGUCGCAAGACUGGUUUCUUCGAAAUGGCACUCGGUCCUGGUUGCCCUCUCGGGGCUUCAGCCAGCUCAUUAGAUGUGGUUGAAUUUCAAUCACUAUGCUAAAACUAUUAACCCCUUGUAAAACACUUGAACUAAAUUACGGAGACAAGACCCUUAACCAGGAAACUAUCUCUGAUAAACCGAAACUUAAGAAACAACUCUUAACAACGGAUAUCUUGGUUCUC